GUGGGGAAUCUUGCGCAAUGGGCGAAAGCCUGAUCCAGCAAUGCCGCGUGCAGGAAGAAGGCCUUCGGGUUGUAAACUGCUUUUGUACGGAACGAAAAGGCUCUGGUUAAUACCUGGGGCUCAUGACGGUACCGUAAGAAUAAGCACCGGCUAACUACGUGCCAGCAGCCGCGGUAAUACGUAGGGUGCAAGCGUUAAUCGGAAUUACUGGGCGUAAAGCGUGCGCAGGCGGUUUUGUAAGACAGGCGUGAAAUCCCCGGGCUCAACCUGGGAAUGGCGCUUGUGACUGCAAGGCUGGAGUGCGGCAGAGGGGGAUGGAAUUCCGCGUGUAGCAGUGAAAUGCGUAGAUAUGCGGAGGAACACCGAUGGCGAAGGCAAUCCCCUGGGCCUGCACUGACGCUCAUGCACGAAAGCGUGGGGAGCAAACAGGAUUAGAAACCCUUGUAGUCC
Molecule: ribosomal RNA, 450 nt
Filed under: uncultured bacterium
Lineage: Bacteria
Description: partial 16S ribosomal RNA
Rfam family: Bacterial small subunit ribosomal RNA
Source: RNAcentral